UUAUCUCCAAUUCUCUGGUAUCCCCUGUAUCCAGCAGCAGCAGUCAUCUUUAUUUUCAAUUUUUCUUCGUAGGGAAGAUCAAAGAAUCUGUGUGAUACGUUUUUAACCUCUUUAAUGAGAGAAUCAGGUAUACCAUGGCCCUUCACGUAGAAGAAUCCAGCUUCUCUACAAGCCUGGUCCAAUUGUUUAACGACUUCACACACAGUGGGGUCCCGAGCCAUGUUUGGAUCAUCACACUUGGCUACCAAAGGACCAAUAUCGAUAAUUGGGAUAUAUUUGAAAUCGGUGGCCAUGACGCUUUGCC
RNAcentral lists this unclassified non-coding RNA (304 nucleotides) under Hevea brasiliensis (rubber tree). The record is from RNAcentral. Lineage: Eukaryota; Viridiplantae; Streptophyta; Magnoliopsida; Malpighiales; Euphorbiaceae.